GUAGGGUGCGAGCGUUAAUCGGAAUUACUGGGCGUAAAGCGAGCGCAGACGGUUAUUUAAGCAAGAUGUGAAAGCCCCGGGCUCAACCUGGGAACUGCGUUUUGAACUGGGUAACUAGAGUGUGUCAGAGGGGGGUAGAAUUCCACGUGUAGCAGUGAAAUGCGUAGAGAUGUGGAGGAAUACCGAUGGCGAAGGCAGCCCCCUGGGAUAACACUGACGUUCAUGCUCGAAAGCGUGGGUAGCAAAC
RNAcentral lists this ribosomal RNA (247 nucleotides) under uncultured Neisseriaceae bacterium. Its description in RNAcentral is "partial 16S ribosomal RNA". It matches the Rfam family "Bacterial small subunit ribosomal RNA", at positions 527 to 773 of the family's 1533-position model. The record is from RNAcentral. Lineage: Bacteria; Pseudomonadati; Pseudomonadota; Betaproteobacteria; Neisseriales; Neisseriaceae.